GAUGAAGAACGUAGCGAAAUGCGAUAAGUAAUGCGAAUUGCAGAAUUUCCGUGAGUCAUCGAAUCUUUGAACGCACAUUGCGCCCACUGGUAUUCCGGUGGGCAUGCCUGUUCGAGCGUCAUUAUCCUCCCUCAAACCCCGGGUUUGGUGUUGGACCCAAGUUGUGUGAACAACUGGUCUCAAAGACAAUGACGGCGUCCGUGGGACCCUCGGUGCAACGAGCUUUUAGGAGCACGCAUCGAGUUGCAAGGACCUUCCGGGCCGGUCUCCUUUACCAUUUUGCAAGGUUGACCUCGGAUCAGGUAGGAAUACCCGCUGAACUUAAGCAUAUCAAUAAGCGGAGGA
RNAcentral lists this unclassified non-coding RNA (345 nucleotides) under soil metagenome. Its description in RNAcentral is "partial contains 5.8S ribosomal RNA, internal transcribed spacer 2, and large subunit ribosomal RNA". The stretch from base 1 to 121 matches the Rfam family "5.8S ribosomal RNA", at positions 35 to 154 of the family's 154-position model. The record is from RNAcentral.